UACAGAGGUCUCAAGCGUUGUUCGGAUUCAUUGGGCGUAAAGGGUGCGUAGGCGGCGCGGUAAGUCGGGUGUGAAAUCUUGGAGCUUAACUCCGAAACUGCAUUCGAUACUGCCGUGCUUGAGGACUGGAGAGGAGACUGGAAUUUACGGUGUAGCGGUGAAAUGCGUAGAUAUCUGGAGGAACACCGGUGGCGAAGGCGGCAUUCUGGACCAUUACUGACGCUGAUCCGCGAAAGCUAGGGGAGCAAACGGG
This 253-nucleotide ribosomal RNA is filed under the name uncultured bacterium. Its description in RNAcentral is "partial 16S ribosomal RNA". It matches the Rfam family "Bacterial small subunit ribosomal RNA", at positions 524 to 776 of the family's 1533-position model. The record is from RNAcentral.